GGAUACUCUAUCAUCGACCAGCAUGGUUACAUGCAAGUUCACAUUCACCCUUUUGUUUUAGACUUUGCUAGCUGUGUCGUUCAUUCGAUACUGUCUGGAGUCUGUAUUUCCUUGUUUUAGACUUUGCUAGCUGUGUCGUUCAUUCGACAAUGUCUGGAGUCUGAGUUUCGUUUUGUUAGAAUGAGCCAGGCGUAUCCUUCAUUCGAUACUCUCCUGGAGUCUAUGAUUUCUUUUGCCUUAGUCAGCAGUAUUUUCUGCUGAGGCAUAUGUUAUUUUCCCCUAGUAUUUUUACUAGUGAUAUUCUCCUACUUUCUUUAAAAUCAAAUACCGUAUUUUGGUAAUGAUAGUAUUUCAGGGAAAAUUACUCUUUAAAACAUAACUCUGUCGGGUCUUGGUAGAAGACUGCUUUUAUUUAGAAAAUAUAGGAUUUUCUGGAAAGGACGCUAAUACACCGUAGAUUCUAAAGUACUAUCUUUCAUAAAGUUAUUUUGAAUAAAAAUGCGUAUUUGUACAAAUGACACUAAAUACUUAUGAACUCACCAGCAUUAUAAAAAUGCGGAUACUCGCUUUCAAAAUAACUUGUAUUCUCAGGACAUCGAUUGACAGGUACAUCCCGGGAGCUUGUGUGAAGUCAGCCUAGAACCAAGCGGCAUCUAUACUAUGUUCUGUAUUUACUUUUGAUGUUUCUAUGUAAUGUAACUUAUGUAAAACUAUUACUAUUAAUGCAAUGGUUGUUGUACUUUGAUUACUAUACUGCAUAUAUUGUGAUACUUGACAUGACGUCAUCCACCCCAGAACGUUUCUGCCGUUCCGGUUUUGGGGUGUGACAGAUUGGUAUCAGAGCAUUGUUUAUACUGAGCUCAGUAUAUAACUUCAUAAAAGAUAUGCAGCCUAUAAAUACAUUGGGAUAAAACACUCUGACCAAGAAUUAUACUUUAAAAUAUAACCAUAUUUUACCAAAGUAUAAGAACAUCCAGAAUCUAAACACUCGAACAAAAGUAUCACAAGAAGAACAAGAAUAAAAGUCUUCGGAUGUUGAGCAUUACCGUCAAACCUGGGCAGUUAUGUAAUCGUAAGCUGGAAUAAAUGUAACCUGAUCAACUACAUUUAUUCGAGAUGCGAUGAACGUGUGCUUGGGAGUGAUAGUGGUGUUGCAACAUGUAUGAAACUUACCAAAUAGGAAUGCUAGAGCCAAACGUAAAGUUUAAAAAUACUAUGGGAGUAUUUUGGAACACUAAAAGACUCACAUUAAUCCCAGAAUCAUAUUCAGAAGUAAGAAUCAAACAAGUAAUUAAAAUACCAUAGGGGUAUUUUAGGAUCCAUAGAUAACCUUGUGUGAAGAACUAAAAAGAUCCUCAUUGAUAUACCUAUGAUUACAGAGGGUAUACUUCCAAGGUUAUAUAAGAUAAGGAUUCCAUAGACUAAGAAUGUGUGGUUUCGCUCUACUUCCUUUUCCUUGUUUGGAUGUGGAUAUAGAGUAGUAUCACAUAUUCGAAGGCCUAUCGAAUCUAAGCUAUAUAUAAUUUGUGUACCCUCUGUAAUUGUAGCAGGACUCGACGUGAAUCACUCGAUGAAAUGUUAAUAAUCUUUUAGGAUUCUUUAGACAUUUCCAUUCUCGCACGAACCCUGUAGAAAACCUUAUCCACUUCAGUGUUCGACAUAAGAGUUGAUUCAGACCCAGAAGAGGAUCAUUGAGAAGAUUUCCAGUUCGGAAAUGAAUGAACUAGGACGAGACUAUUGAAACCACCAAGUGCCUAUACCUUUUAGGGACACCGGUGGGAAAUCCACCUGAACUUCCGAGAUUUCCAGUCAUCCAUCAUGAAGCGAUGACACUCAGGGGCAGGAUCAGAAGUAAGAUAGCGCUGACAAUCAGAGUAAGAAUUAGAAGUAAGCCAGAGUAGAAGUUCAGUAAGUCUUCAUGAGAAGAGAACCCUAGGUAACUACCCGAAGAAAACCAACGCCGAUCCCAGACAAGGAUAAGAGGUAGAUAGAGGGAGCCAAUGCAUGGAACCUGAGAAGUGUCUCGUAUUUGCCACGCUAAUACACCCAUAAAAUAAUACCAUUUAGUAAGUUAGCGAUUACACUACUCACACUGUGUGUUAGGUAAAUUGCCUUUUUCCCGUCGCAUGUAAUACAAUUAGAUUGGAUUUCAAAAUCUCGGUUGAGAAUGUUAGGCAAAAGUCUUCAUGAGCCUUUCUUCCCACAGUCUUCGUUCCGAACUCCCCUCAAAUCUUUCCAAGUUGGAGAGUGAACUUUUCCAGCAUAAAGAUAACAUAGUAGGAACGACUCCCAUCUUAUGACUUUCCGAUACUCUUACUCCUACCUUGAAUACCCGGACUACAUCAUAGGGAUGUAGGUCGACACUCAGAUAACCAAUAUUCGAGGCGCGGGAAAAUUUAUGCCUAUUAUAGUAAGGAUAGAUACGUCCAGGGUUAACCAUCGUCUCUCAUCAGCUUGUGUUCCUUUCCGUGUAGGAAAAACAUGCCUCCGAAGAAAUGUAACCAAUUUGCUGGCAAGAAACCAACUCUCCUAUUCGAUGAAGCUACGUUCCAAGCUGCAGUCUCGGCAGCCGUAGCAGCUAUCAUGGCUCAACUGAAUGCUAACAAUGCCAAUGUUAGCAAGAGCCCCAUCUGGAAUCCCGAUCCUAGCAAUCGACAGCAGAAACCAACGCCUACGUGCCCAGCCACCGAAGAACCCCAACCAAAGCCACUGAAGAGAAAGCUCAAGAACGAGGAAUGAAGUACCUCGGCUCAAGGACCUUCCGAAGGGCAACGAGCUGAGACAGUCAAUAUCCCUGCCAACCCUUCCAACCCGACACCUAGAAGACCAUACCUAGGAAGCCUCCCCCGUUGCAGCAAGUGCAGCUACCAUCAUCAUGGUACCCGUCGAGAGCUCCUUUGUGUUAGGUGCAACAUGAAGGGACAUACCGCUCGUGUCUGCAGAACCCCGGUUGAGUUCAUUGCAUCGACCACCAAUGUUGGGACCAGUCCAAUAUGCCACCUAUGUGGUGAAAUUGGGCACUUCAAGCGGUACUGCCCAACUGAAAGAAAUGACAAGAGCGCAGGAGGAGUCUAACCCUAAUAACUAGGAGAAACAUCAAUGAACCCGGUAAAAUUUUGGUACGUCUCUCAAUCUCCGAUAACUAACUGAAAACAUUAAAAGGCUAAUUCUAAAAGUAAAUACUCUUCUGUUAAAGUGAAUGUCACAACACUGUUGUAAGAAUUUUCAUCAGGUAAAGCUAUAAUGGCUCGGUAUAUACGUUAAGGCCAUGUAUAAUUAAGAUGGAUAGACCUCGAGUGAGUGAAGCUGCCUCAUUUCCUGUUUCUCGUUUGGUUGUGGAUUUAGGGCGGAGUCGCUCAGUCAACAGUCCUUCCCACCUUAAUUAUACAUGACUAGUGUAUGUUAAGCAAUUAUAGAAAGACCUCGUGAGAAUCCAUCCAUGAAAAGUACAUUAUUCUGAAACCUCAGGACCCUCUAUAGUUCCGCGUUGACUCUAUCAGUCCAAGUAUCCGCAACAGUGAUACACGGGACAAAACCCGAGACGCCAAGAACUUGGGUACCAGUUCAGCACAUGGCCUUAUCGACCCUCAUUCUAUAUCAUGUCGAUGUAUGCCAACUUUGACGCCUCAAUCAAUCAUGGUUUGACUUAGUGCAUCCAUGUGUAAAUUCCUAGUGUUGUGUGAAAAGAACUUUCACCAUAGCCAUUUUGGCAGAUAAAGGUCCUUCCGAACUUAAUAAUAAAACCUAACGCAAUCCGUCAGUCGUCUCCCUUAUCUAAAACCUACCGAAAUACCCCUGAGUAGGGUAUCGCGCGUUGUUAACCAACCCUUCCUUAGACAAAUAGAACCCAAAGCGAAAGAAACUACAGGUAUUUCAGAAGACGUUAACCACCCGAAGCUUACUCCGUAGAUCCCCCAGAAAGACCCUUAGCACCUCUCCAUCAGGUUCGUGAAUCAAGAGGAAAGAACUCAGGGGACUGACUACUAUAACUAAGUAUAUGCAUAAUGGUGGUAUAUAAUUGAUAAAAAUAUUUAAGAUGCGUGCGUCCUCCCUACUCCCUGUUCCUCGUUGGGUUGUGGGUAUGGGGUGGAGUCGCACAACUGAACAUCCUGUUGACCUCAAUUAUAUAUGACUUGUAUACACCAAGUAUUAGUGGUUAAGCCAAGUGUGAGCUCUACCACGAACCUCAUAGUAAAACCCUUCAUCCUAUCCCAUAGAAUAGGAACUAGAUUCAAGAGAACCACGGGGGUUGAAUUACUAUAAUGAGCACAAUUCUGAAAUUUGUUGUCAUCCCAGUUAAGCCAACAUAGUAGCUAACACCUUUAGCUAGUAAAGAAAUCUGAGUCGUAAGAGUCAAGGACAUUGACUACGACCAUCCAUUCACGCUUAAUCCCACGAAUUAAGCAUCUCAGCGGAUAUCCCGAAAACCUGGAAGCUGCGAUAAGUUAAACUCUGAGAAGAGGGGAUGAGGAGAUUAGAAGUUCUGAGUGACGAAACCCUAUACUUCUAGACUUAACCAAAAUCAAGAAAACUCAUAACCACCGGAAGAGUAGUUGCAGAAGAUGCUCGCACUACUCAGGUACUUCGUCCACCCCGUUACUGACGAGUAGUUCCUAGGACACUCCACCUCCCCACGUGAAAGAAGUCACCGUUGCCCUGUAGACGAUAGACUGCAUUCUCCGAAGUGAAUCCUAGAAUGCCAAGAACCACAGGAGUACCCUCCGCAGCCAAGAAUACUUGAACAAAGCGCGAAAGUAGGUUGUGUUAAGCCUUAUAACCCAGAUCCCGAAGAGAUUAUAGACUUGACACCAGUUUAGGUGUUAGUCGAUGGGUUAUACAAGAGCACGUGCUUUCUACAACUGAAAUAAACCGACACCUUAGACAUUAGGGCAUGUCUUAGAGAUUCAUUGGGCUACUAGGUGUUCCAAGAAUACUAUCUCACACAGAAAUAGUAGAACCACCUCCCGAGAUAGUCCAACCCUUCAGAAAAUCUCUAAGGUCUGAGUUAGCCCUGAGCAGAGAUUGCUAUUCAUGAAACAGCAAAGCAAGUAAGAGAAUGAUUCUUUCCUAUUAGGAAUCAUAUUAUGAAAUCAUCAACUAGACAAUGAUGAGAAGUUAAAAAACCUUUCUAAACAAUCGUCUAGUCGAAACCCUAUCUCAUCGACCCUGAGAGUUUCCAUUAGAAACAUCUCAAGAAUCAGAAAUGCAGGUUCAUUUUUCAUAAGAUUGAGAUAGUCACCCUGCAGCAAAUAGAUACCCGUAGACAUCCAAUUCAUUCGAUGAUCCAGGAAACCUCUGAAGGCUAGUCAGCAGGAAACACGAAUCCAAGGAUAACUUGAGCCCUCUAAGAACCAACCCAAAGGACUACACCCACAGUAUGAAAGGACGUUGGAACUUCAGAAUGGCGGUCACGCCAGUGAUGAUCUCGCCAUAGAAGUACACUAUGUUCUAAGUGCUGAAAAGCUCUACCUUUCCGAGAGCUUAGAGACAUCUGAGGUUCUUUACAAAAAUAGGGUCAACCCUAGUCAGACCAUGACUACUUUCGGAAAUUCCAUAAGCUUCGCCCCAAAUCAAUCCACAUCUUAGACUUGAAAAGUGUUUGCCCAACGUAACUCUCUGAAAUCCACUCGUCUUGAUAGAAAUCAUUGGGGGCUCUAACUUCGUAUAGGAACCUGUAGGAAUCGCGAGCCGAGCAACCAAGUGAACGAAACGGAAUCCACAUCCCGUAAGUGAAGGUUGUUAGAACGUCAAGCAGAGGCCAGAGUUCACUUGGGAGCGCAAAGACCAACCGAAUAGGAAGUACCCUGAUAUGUGCAUAAUUAGUUAAUUAUUUAGUAUAUAUUUUUAUUCAUUUUUAACUAGUUAUGUGAAUAAUAUGGACAAAAGGUACUUAAUAUUGUUUAAAUUUUAUUUUCAGUCCAAAAGAUAUGCUUGGGAGUAAAAGGGAGCAAGGGAAAACAAUUAAAGACCAAAAAGUGAAGAUUGAGGAACAAAAUGAUACCUACUCGGCGAGUACACGCGACUACUCGGCGAGUCCAACUGAAUAUUCCAGAAGAUCACUACGUUUCCUGAUCUUAGACGGAUAACAACGCGACUACUCGGCGAGUUGGGUCUGGUACUCGCUGAGUACCCCCUGUUUUGAGAUAUCUAUAAAAAUCGAACCUUUAUCCGAGGAGAACAGACCUUUGGCGAUUUUUGAAGAUCCUUCUGCGAUUAAGAGCACCAGAAGACGUUGAGGAACCCUAAUUUUCAACCUUUUGAAGAAUUGAAGCAACUAGGUUAAUCAUUCCACUUAAGCUUAGGAUUUGAUGAUGUCUAAUCUAGUUGAAUUUGUUUCUAUGUUUAUUUUUACUGCAACUAUGAACUAAUUUCGUUUUUGUUUCUGUUUGGGGAAUACCAAGGAACUCCUAUGGUUUAAAUCCUUAACUUUGAUUAAUUGUUUAUUGGUGAUUCAUUAAAUUAAGUUUGUUAAAGAACCUUAUGCAUUAAUCAUUACUAUUUUCUGUUAAUUGGAAGACAAUUAGGCUGCAUGAACAUCUCUUAGUUGUUAACCUCAUAUGUCUAUGUGAAUACUAAACCAUAUGCUUAGAAGUAAUGAUUAUGAAACUAAGAUUAAUAAGACAAUAGGAAGAUUAAUGUGUGAGCUUGCUUGAGAANAAUUAAUUCCAUAAAUUAAUCCAAAUCAUUAAUCUAGGGAAUUAAUUAGUUUAAACACUUGAUAACCGCUUAAAUUAGUUAAUUGUCUAAGGGUUAGGAGUAAUGAACAUGAACCUAACCAUUUUAAUUGGUAACCAAUAGCAAUUAAUCUAUCAUAAAUACAAAUAACCAUAGGAGUGAAUUGGUUGAACCUAAAUAGAAACAUCUUUAUCAAACUUGGUGAAUAGUUGUUGCUUUAGUUAUUUAGUUAAUUUAGUGUGCCUAAGUUUCUAGUCUUGCAAAACUAGAAGAAAACCCUUUUACUUUUAUUAGUUGUUUAGUUAAAAUUAGUUAUUAGUUUAAUUUUCCGUUCCCUGAGUUCGACACCUUACUUACUAAUCUAUACCACUAAAAGACAGGUUCACUGCCUUUGUGUGUUUAAUUUAUUAAUUAAAGUAGGGAUGAAACAAGUGCAUUUUACACACAUCAUACCCUCAUCUCUCUACUCGAUUGUUCAUGCCUACCUCUCUGCCUAAACCAUAAUUUCGGGACAAAAUUCCCUCUAACGGGGGAUGAUUUGACAACCCGAAAUUUAUUCCAUCACGGUAAACCCUUAUUCCGCUAAUAAAACUCGCUUUAUUAAAUUGUUCCGUUAACCUUUUGGAUUAGGUUAAUUAAAUUGGGAAUUUUAUUAUGACUUCAUGAGUGCCCAAGCGAUUUAGAAACACGUGAAACACCCUCAAUAUCCCCUUGAAAAAUUUUAGUUUUAGUUACAAUCAAGUCAAGUUACGACUAUUUAAUCGGGUACGACCAAAAGCCCCGUUCAACGUCAGUAUCAGGUAGAUUUACAUCGAGCCAUAAACUCAAACCCCUAUAUAAGGGUGAGUGGACCUCCAUUUGAAACUUUUCCACCCACAUAACACCCUCUCUCUACAAAGCCGAUUUUGAUCCAAAAACGCCUAUUUCGAGCUCCAUAAUCGAAAGUAAUCUAUCCUACCUUGUUGUUUAGGUCAUUUAACAUGAAAAUUCAUGUUUAAAUCAUCCAAUAGCCUCAAAGUCAUGUGUUUACAGCCCAAGAACACUCUUGGACCGCAAACACCCAUAAGUGGAGUUUUAAAGCCCUAAAACCCUUCCAAAUCACUCCUAGGGCUUAGAUAUGACUUGUGGACUUACAUAUAUGAGCUUAGAACACCAAAACCUUAUCAUAUGGAGAGUAAACAUGAGUUUACGACCCAAGAACACUCUUGGACGGUAAACCCCUCUUCAUAGGCCGUGAACACCUUUUAAGGUGUUAAAGUUGCCCUUAAACACCACCUACGGCUUGGGUAAAUGUCUAGAAUCAACCACUAUUGAAGUAGGGGAAUUAAACAUCAAAGAAACUAUGGACUUAGGAGUUUACGGCUGUAAACCCCCCAAGGAUUGGUCCAUGGGCUGUAAACUCCCUUAAAGAGGUCAAAUGAUGCCCUAACUUCCCCAUAUGGCUUGGAAUAAUGCAUAAAACCUUGUAUUCUUUCAUUUAAUACCUUAAACCAUGAAAUGAAGGACCAAGUGAGAGUUUACGGCCAUAAACUCUAUGUUUACAGCCGUGAACUCCCUUAAAUGCUUCAUUUGGAGCCUUAACCCCUUCCUAUGCCCUAGAAUUGAACCUAGCCUAAUCCCACAAGUGAUAUAAGACCUUUGAGCAUCCAAGAACACACCACCCAUGAGUUUACAACCGUAAACUCAUGGGGAUAUGGUCUUAGGGCCGAAAUCACCAUAAAGAGUUUACUCUAGAAGAGUAAACUCCCUAACUAGGCCAUACACCCCCUUAUUGCAACCCAAUAGCCUCCUAGCACUUGACCAAAGUGUUUUUCCGCACAUUAGGAUGCUUAUACUUGUUUUAUUAGUGUUAUAAUCACUAAUUAUAUGUACACAUAUGUCUUCAUAUGUUAUUAGGUCAUUAAGUGUGUUCAAGUCUUUACUUGACACCGGGCACCCAACCGGCACCUCCGUCCGAUCCACUUACAGCAGGUGAGUUCAUACCCCUGAAUUAACCUUUCAAAUGAUUUUAACUGCUUUUAUAGGGGGAAUACAAGUUGAACUAUACAGUUAUUAGAUUAAUCACAUGUGAUUAAUAACUAUAUAGCAAAUGGAUUUUUACAUGUUAAACCGCUUCAGCUAAUAACAUGUUUUUUUUUUCCAAAUCUCGCUUUCAAAUCUUGUUAAAGUAUGAAUUUCUCUUUUAGAUUAUCAUAAGUAUUCGAAAGGUUUUCCGAAGGUUUUUCAAAGGUUUUCCAAAGGUUUUCUUCACUUAAACUAUUUUAUCGAAUCAUUUUCAAAAGUUUGUUUAUUAAACUGAUACUGAGUCAUAAAUUAUUGUUUAUAAAGUUUUCUAAAAGUUUCACCCAAGUUUCUGUUAUGCUUUUAUUUUGAUAAAUGUAUGCCCGUACAUGUAUAGUUAUAUAAGUAAUGUUUAAAGGACUUAGGAAGGCUAAUUUACUUUGAUUCCUUUUCCUUGUUUGGAUGUGGCUUCGGGGUAUCGGUUAUCCGUCCGACGGUCGUUUAAACACUUGUUGUAUAUCAUGUAUUCAUGGAUGGACAUAAAAGCUCUCUCUCUCUCUCUCUCUCUCUCUCUUUCUCUCUCCUACUAUCAGCCAAUUUAUCACCUUGAGUAGUACAGGCAACUUUCUAUUAUUCAUGUUUAUGGAACCCUAGUAACUAUUAUAGGAAUAGUUAGGAGACUCUAUAUCUCUCUCUAUCUCUCUCUCUCUCUAUCUGUCCCUCUAUCUCUCUCUAUCUCUCUAUUUGAAUUUAGAAUGUGACACACUAUUUCCCUCUACGACGUUGCAUUACACCAACACCGUGUAACCAUAAUCUCCGGGAAGGAGGGCGAACAUCAUGUGUAUAGAUCUAUACGGGACUGACACUCCCACACCCAGACUACUAGCUACAGUCCACGCCGGUAAGGCCCAUGGGUGACAUAAUGCCACUACCUCUACGCGUGACCUGGAAGGUAAUCCGAUACUUUAUUGUCGACCAACAUGGUUACAUACAAGUUCACAUUCACCCUUUUGUUUUAGACUUUGCUAGCUGUCUCAUUCAUUUGAUACUGUCUGGAGUCUGUAUUUCAUUGUUUUAGACUUUGCUAGUUGUGUCGUUCAUUUGACAAUGUCUGGAGUCUAUGUUUCCUUUUGUUAGACUGAGCCAGGUGUAUCAUUCAUUCGAUACUCUUCUAGAGUCUAUGAUUUCUUUUGCCUUAGUCAGUAGUAUUACUGCUGAGGCAUAUGUUAUUUUUCCCCUAGUAUUUUUUUUACUAGUGAUAUUCUCAUAUUUUCUUUAAAGUCAAUACCGUAUUUUGGUAAUAAUAGUAUUUUGGGAAAAUUACUCCUUAAAACAUAAGUCUACCGGAUCUUGGUAGAACACUGCUUUUAUUUAGAAAAUAUAGGAUUUUCUGGAAACGACGCUA
This 10081-nucleotide long non-coding RNA is filed under the name Lactuca sativa (garden lettuce). RNAcentral describes it as "long non-coding RNA (LSAT_LNC001301)". The record is from RNAcentral. Lineage: Eukaryota; Viridiplantae; Streptophyta; Magnoliopsida; Asterales; Asteraceae.